UAAAGCCUGCAAGAUUAUACCCACAUCACCUGAAUGCAACUCAGGUACUUUACUUAAAUUAAGGCUUU
Molecule: transfer RNA, 68 nt
Filed under: Acanthosaura capra
Lineage: Eukaryota; Metazoa; Chordata; Lepidosauria; Squamata; Agamidae
Description: tRNA-Ala
Source: RNAcentral